Molecule: long non-coding RNA, 296 nt
Organism: Dama dama (fallow deer)
Lineage: Eukaryota; Metazoa; Chordata; Mammalia; Artiodactyla; Cervidae
Exons: 3
Source: RefSeq, a predicted model, not a curated record
UCGGAAGAAAGCCCCUGUGUUACUAGGCCCGGCUCUCGGGAUGGUGUUUUUGGCGCAGUAGGAGUUCCCCCGCUUGAGGACCUCGCAGCUGGGGAUCUUCCUGACCCAGGGAUUGAACCUGCGUCUCCUGAAUUGCAGGCAGUCUCCUGCAAUGCAAGUGGAUUCUUUACCACUGAGCCACCAGACUAUGAGCUCCUUGGAAGUGCCACGACUUCAGACCUUCUUGGAUUCCUAUAAGCAAAGUGCCAUAGUAGAUCCUCAAUGAAUGUUGGGUGAAUUCACAUGUGAAUGAACAG